CCCAGGCCAUCUGUGUUUACCAGAAAGGGCCAUUUUUCCAUCCCCCUGACGUCCAGGAAGGCACUCAAGAAGGAACGGAGCGUGCCUCCCUCCGGGCCUGUCCCCCGUCCCUGCCAGCAGGCCCAGCUGGCUGCGUUCUGAGAUCAAGCGCUUUGAAGAACGGGGCCACUGCUUCCUUCACCAGGGCCUGGAAACGCCCAGCCGAGCCGUGGCUGCAGUGCGAACCCGUUUCCUUUCAGGUGAAAAGGUGUUGCUAAGACUAACAGGAUGCAUCAGUGCUUGUCUUUUCCAGAAACCAACCAGCCACAUAAGAAAUCUUUAAUUAACAAACAUAUUUAUAAGAGUGGAAAAAAUCAGGCCACCAGAUGGGGAUAUCCCUGAGGACAGGGGCAGCAUCACUCAUCUCUGUCCCCUUGGCACCAGCACAGUUGAGGAGAUGCUCCACGUGUGUUUGUUGAGCAGAUCAGUGGGAGUGAAGCAACUGACCCGAGUUCUUCCCUGGCCGCCCGGGAGAAGAUGAUGGAGACAGCACGUAACAUUCUGUUCCUCUGCUUUGCUCAUCUCCAGGCUGUCGGGAUGAUGGAAAAAGUGCAUCUUACCCUGAAGCAUCUCCAACAAUGGCAAUGGCCAAAGCCUCUUCCAGUCUCUGCCAAAUUCCACCUGCAAGAAGCUCUCCAUGUCGUCUGAGUCCCCCAGGAGCUGCCCACCCAGCCACGACACUGAGGAGAAGGAGCAGGCAGAGGCAAACGAGGCUCGCGGUGGGUCGUGACUUGCGCACGGCCACACAGCUGCCGAGAACAAGACAGGGCGAACCAGGAAGUCAGACAGCAGGCUGUCUACGCAGAACCUCUUCAUCAGUAUGGCAUGCUGCCCUCUAACAUGCUGCCGACAACGUCUAGCUUCGUCUUAGCACACAGGAGGCCCAUGAAGCAACCUUCUCAUUAAUCUCUCCACUCUCUCGUCCAACAGGGAAAAGUGAGGCCCAUUUCAGGGAGUAGAGAGGUUUCAGAUGAUGACUGACAGAAUUUUAGAGUCAGCCUGGCCCGGGAGAAAUUGCAAAGUCUCUAGAGUCCGGCAGUCAUCCACACCUCAGCCCACCUACUUUCUGUGGGGGAGUCAGUUGUGAGGUCUUAAUAAGAGACCAAUGUAUGCAAAGCACCUGACACAUAGUAGGUAUUAAAUAAUAGCAAUAGCAAUAACCACAUUUAUACAGGGCUGUUGAUGUGCCAGGCAGCAUUCUGAGCCCAUCCUUAAUGUUAACUCCUAAUCCUCACAUUGACUCUAAGAGGCAAUAGCAAUAUUCUCCCAUUCGACAGAUGAGGAAACUGAGGCACAAAAAUGAUUAAGAAACUUGCAUAGUGUCACACAGUAGGGGGUGGGGUGGCUAGGAUUUGAACCCUAACCCAGAGACAGGGCCCUAAACCAGUGUAUUAUAUUGCGCCCUUUUGCAAGCUGUUCCCCAGCCCUCACCCCCCCGUAAAACAGAACUAUAGUCACGCGCCGCAGAAGGAUACUUCAGUCAAUGGCAGACCACACGGACAACGGUGGUCCUCUAAUAUCAGUACCAUGCAAGCUGGUGUGCAGUGGGCUACACCAUCUAGGUUUGU
This 1607-nucleotide long non-coding RNA is filed under the name Equus caballus (horse). RNAcentral describes it as "lncRNA (ENSECAG00000036882.3)". The record is from RNAcentral. Lineage: Eukaryota; Metazoa; Chordata; Mammalia; Perissodactyla; Equidae.